This is a non-coding RNA of Danio rerio (zebrafish), 454 nucleotides long. The record is from Ensembl. NCBI's taxonomy places the organism in Eukaryota, Metazoa, Chordata, Actinopteri, Cypriniformes, Danionidae.
AUUCAAAUUCCAGUGGAGCAACGGCAGAAAUCCGAGGAAACAUCAUAUUCGACGGGUUUCCUUCAACAACGUUACGAGUCAUCAGAGGAGGAGCCUAGUGAAUAAGUGUGAGUGUGAAGCUGUAGGCCUGGAGACCCAACUGCACGCUCAGACCUGCAAGCUCAGACCUGCACUUCUAGACCCAUCGUUUUCUCAGACAGUACCACCUGCUGUUGGGUUGGGGGAGGCGACAGCGACGGAGGCCCAACUGCACGCUCAGACCAGCACUUUCUAGCAAGCAGCAACAUCAAACAUGCAGAGUCACUGGCCAGCUGUUUGGAACCAGUAAUACAGGAAAGUCAGAGAGAUCAGAACUGCAAAUACCAGUGAAGUUACCAGACAAGGUGCUGUUGUUUCAGUUUGCCUGCUGUAUCGAUUGUCUACACAGCAAAUAAACAGAGCAGUAUGCACUGAG